RNAcentral lists this long non-coding RNA (391 nucleotides) under Apteryx owenii (little spotted kiwi). RNAcentral's name for it is "lncRNA (ENSAOWG00000016277.1)". Lineage: Eukaryota; Metazoa; Chordata; Aves; Apterygiformes; Apterygidae. The record is from RNAcentral.
GCUGAGGGGGGCGCCCGCCCCUCACGGCCGGCCCGGCGACGCCGCCAGUGGGCAGAAGCCCAGGAGCAAGGGAGACACCUCGAGCCCCUGGAAGCGGUUUUAUCCCCUCGCACACCAUGAACCGCCUCAGCCCUUGCUGCGGUUAAAAUAAAAAUCCUCGUUGCGGGCCCCGGCGUUAAGCAGCUUAAAACGUUGUCAAGCCAAGAGGAAAGAAGAGAAAUAUUUCCAGUGAAUAAAAGAGUCUGCGCGCAAAGAGGAGAAAAUGCAGGUUACUGAGCUGGGCCUGUGUGGGUCACAUUUCAGCUGUCCCUUCUCCCUAACGCCUAAAGAGAGAUCAUGCAAAGAUCUAUUUCUUCCCUGCUUGAAGGAAAGCCACAAAUCACCUUUUUAG